ACUCUAGUAUUGACCUCAAUCCAUAUGUGUUGAGGUGGAUUGGGGUGUAAAUUAGUUUAAAUUACACCCCAAUCCACUCAAUACAUAUGGAUUAGGGUCAAUACUAGA
Non-coding RNA from Zea mays, 108 nucleotides. Lineage: Eukaryota; Viridiplantae; Streptophyta; Magnoliopsida; Poales; Poaceae. The record is from Rfam.